Molecule: long non-coding RNA, 926 nt
Organism: Schistocerca serialis cubense
Lineage: Eukaryota; Metazoa; Arthropoda; Insecta; Orthoptera; Acrididae
Exons: 2
Source: RefSeq, a predicted model, not a curated record
CCGGAGGCCAUUUUGCAUUAUAUGUAAAUAAUCGUUGAAACACAGUUAAGUUGAGCUGGAAUUGUUCGUGAAGUCUUACCGAAACUGUGAUCUGGCAAUUUUCCAGCAUAGCUGCACUGAUAUAAUUAUCCCUGUUUUCUCCUUGCUACUCACUGAUAUCGCAUUUGGUUCACUGCUUACAAUACUUCCACAGUCAUCUCUCAAGUGCACGACUUACUAAAUGCUACACCAUCGUCAUGUGAAGUAAAUAAACGAUUUUACGUCUUCUGUCCUUACGUCUCCGGGUGCCUACAUCGUGCCUGAAAAUGGUUUACUCGUAUGGAGAACUAAGGGCCACUAGAAGAUACGUGAAACAGAUUAUCAAAGAACUAAUGGAUAGUUGAUCUGAGUUGGUGUGCACCAAAAUGGCAACAACCAGGAGAAGGCACAAUUAUUUAUCUGGUAUCAACAACAGUAUGGGAUGGCACCACCGAAAUAAACAAGCAUAAUGAGGUGGUUCAGAAACUUAAAAAUGAAAUGUCACAGACUUCCUCUGAAGUGAUGUCUGCUUGGGCCUCAAGCAAAUGUUGACUGAGUGCCAACAGCAUUUUAGCACAGCCCCCAGCAGUCAGUUCGUUGAAGAUCACAUGAAUUGCAGGAAUUGAGCCCAACUGUACAUAGUGUUACAUAAGUGAUCAUGCCUUUUGCAUACAAAGUGAAAAUUGUCCAAGCAUUACAGCCAAAUAAUCAUUUUUCUGUGGCAUUCAUUCAUGUGUUCUAUGCUGUUGACCAUAGAUGCUGACAAUGACAGCCUGAAAAAGGGCCAGUUUUCAGUUAGAGCAACAUUCCAAAUUUCUGGACAUGUGAUUUGCCACGACGUUACAAUUUGGGGCUCCAAAAACUCAGACAACAUACGUGAACACAUCUGUGGCAGUUCAAACCUUAAA